GCUGGGUGUCGUGGCGGGCGCCUGUAGUCCCAGCUACUCAGGAGGCUGAGGCAGGAGAAUUGCUUGAACCCAGGAGGUGGAGGUUGCAGUGAGCUGAGAUUGCACCACUGCAUUCCAGCCUGGGCAACAGAGUAAGACUCUGUCUUAA
Unclassified non-coding RNA from Macaca fascicularis (crab-eating macaque), 148 nucleotides. It matches the Rfam family "Metazoan signal recognition particle RNA". From Rfam's summary of the family: The signal recognition particle (SRP) is a universally conserved ribonucleoprotein. It is involved in the co-translational targeting of proteins to membranes. The record is from Ensembl. NCBI's taxonomy places the organism in Eukaryota, Metazoa, Chordata, Mammalia, Primates, Cercopithecidae.